Molecule: ribosomal RNA, 400 nt
Filed under: uncultured bacterium
Lineage: Bacteria
Description: bacterial SSU rRNA
Rfam family: Bacterial small subunit ribosomal RNA
Source: RNAcentral
GUACUCUUGACAUCCAGAGAAUUCAGCAGAGAUGCUUUGGUGCCUUUGGGAACUUUGAGACAGGUGCUGCAUGGCUGUCGUCAGCUCGUGUUGUGAAAUGUUGGGUUAAGUCCCGCAACGAGCGCAACCCUUAUCCUUUGUUGCCAGCGGUUCGGCCGGGAACUCAAAGGAGACUGCCGGUGAUAAACCGGAGGAAGGUGGGGAUGACGUCAAGUCAUCAUGGCCCUUACGAGUAGGGCUACACACGUGCUACAAUGGCGCAUACAAAGAGAAGCGACCUCGCGAGAGCAGGCGGACCUCACAAAGUGCGUCGUAGUCCGGAUCGGAGUCUGCAACUCGACUCCGUGAAGUCGGAAUCGCUAGUAAUCGUGGAUCAGAAUGCCACGGUGAAUACGUUCCC